This 425-nucleotide ribosomal RNA is filed under the name uncultured bacterium. Its description in RNAcentral is "bacterial SSU rRNA". It matches the Rfam family "Bacterial small subunit ribosomal RNA", at positions 354 to 796 of the family's 1533-position model. The record is from RNAcentral.
GUGGGGAAUAUUGCACAAUGGGCGAAAGCCUGAUGCAGCAACGCCGCGUGAGCGAUGAAGGUCUUCGGAUCGUAAAGCUCUGUCCUCAAGGAAGAAUUUUGACGGUACUUGAGGAGGAAGCCCCGGCUAACUACGUGCCAGCAGCCGCGGUAAUACGUAGGGGGCUAGCGUUAUCCGGAAUUAUUGGGCGUAAAGGGUGCGUAGGCGGUCCUACAAGUCAGAGGUGAAAGGCUACGGCUCAACCGUAGUAAGCCUUUGAAACUGUAGGACUUGAGUGCAGGAGAGGAGAGUGGAAUUCCCAGUGUAGCGGUGAAAUGCGUAGAUAUUGGGAGGAACACCAGUUGCGAAGGCGGCUCUCUGGACUGUAACUGACGCUGAGGCACGAAAGCGUGGGGAGCGAACAGGAUUAGAAACCCCAGUAGUCC